UCCUUGUUGGUAUAGUGGUAAGUAUCCCUGUCUGUUACGCGUGAGACCGGGGUUUGAUUCCCUGAUGGGGAG
This 72-nucleotide transfer RNA is filed under the name Xenopus laevis (African clawed frog). It matches the Rfam family "tRNA". From Rfam's summary of the family: Transfer RNA (tRNA) molecules are approximately 80 nucleotides in length. Their secondary structure includes four short double-helical elements and three loops (D, anti-codon, and T loops). Lineage: Eukaryota; Metazoa; Chordata; Amphibia; Anura; Pipidae. The record is from Rfam by way of RNAcentral.